Arabidopsis lyrata subsp. lyrata is the source of this 497-nucleotide long non-coding RNA. RefSeq lists it as uncharacterized. The record is from RefSeq and is a predicted model, not a curated record. NCBI's taxonomy places the organism in Eukaryota, Viridiplantae, Streptophyta, Magnoliopsida, Brassicales, Brassicaceae. The transcript is spliced from 3 exons.
CUCAGUUUCUGUGCCACCAAGUGAUACAUGUUCAACGCCUGAAAAAGGACAGGGCAAUUAUUCAUUAUUUUUGCCUCCUGCUCGAGAUUCUGCUGUGAUUUCUAUAGGAAGUACACAUUCAACGGCUGCACAUGAAAAUCAGAAGGUAAAAUCUCAAUUUCAUAGGUUUUAGGAAGGAUACAUUUAAUUUUAGGAUGACCUUCCUAAAUAAUGCAAUAUACAGAUAUGAUCCGAACUAGUCGUCUUUUUUUUCUCAAUUUGAACUGUUUAUUCAUAUGCCUAUCUAUUUUUGGGUUUGUAGAACCUCAUCCUUAAGUUGGAACUUCUUCUAUCUCUGCUGCACAUGAAAACCAAAAGGAACCUUAUCUUUCAGUUGGAACUUCUUUUAUCUCUGCUGCACAUGAAAACCAGAAGGAACCUCAUCCAUCAGUCGGAACUUCUUCCAUCUCUGUGCCAUAUAGUAAUACAUGUUCAACGACUGAAAAGGGAAUAGGCAA